This 400-nucleotide ribosomal RNA is filed under the name uncultured bacterium. RNAcentral's name for it is "partial 16S ribosomal RNA". It matches the Rfam family "Bacterial small subunit ribosomal RNA", at positions 330 to 744 of the family's 1533-position model. The record is from RNAcentral.
UCCAGACUCCUACGGGAGGCAGCAGUGGGGAAUAUUGGACAAUGGGGGGAACCCUGAUCCAGCGACGCCGCGUGAGUGAAGAAGUAUUUCGGUAUGUAAAGCUCUAUCAGCAGGGAAGAAAGAAAUGACGGUACCUGACUAAGAAGCCCCGGCUAACUACGUGCCAGCAGCCGCGGUAAUACGUAGGGGGCAAGCGUUAUCCGGAUUUACUGGGUGUAAAGGGAGCGUAGACGGCGAUGCAAGUCUGAAGUGAAAGGCGGGGGCCCAACCCCCGGACUGCUUGGGAAACUGUAUAGCUGGAGUGCAGGAGAGGUAAGGGGAAUUCCUAGGGUAGCGGUGAAAUGCGUAGAUAUUAGGAGGAACACCAGUGGCGAAGGCGGCUUACUGGACUGUAACUGAC